GACGUUAGCGGCGGACGGGUGAGUAACACGUGGAUAACCUACCUAUAAGACUGGGAUAACUUCGGGAAACCGGAGCUAAUACCGGAUAAUAUAUUGAACCGCAUGGUUCAAUAGUGAAAGACGGUUUUGCUGUCACUUAUAGAUGGAUCCGCGCCGCAUUAGCUAGUUGGUAAGGUAACGGCUUACCAAGGCAACGAUGCGUAGCCGACCUGAGAGGGUGAUCGGCCACACUGGAACUGAGACACGGUCCAGACUCCUACGGGAGGCAGCAGUAGGGAAUCUUCCGCAAUGGGCGAAAGCCUGACGGAGCAACGCCGCGUGAGUGAUGAAGGUCUUCGGAUCGUAAAACUCUGUUAUUAGGGAAGAACAAAUGUGUAAGUAACUAUGCACGUCUUGACGGUGCCUAAUCAGAAAGCCACGGCUAACUACGUGCCAGCAGCCGCGGUAAUACGUAGGUGGCAAGCGUUAUCCGGAAUUAUUGGGCGUAAAGCGCGCGUAGGCGGUUUUUUAAGUCUGAUGUGAAAGCCCACGGCUCAACCGUGGAGGGUCAUUGGAAACUGGAAAACUUGAGUGCAGAAGAGGAAAGUGGAAUUCCAUGUGUAGCGGUGAAAUGCGCAGAGAUAUGGAGGAACACCAGUGGCGAAGGCGACUUUCUGGUCUGUAACUGACG
This 670-nucleotide ribosomal RNA is filed under the name Staphylococcus sp. B21. RNAcentral describes it as "bacterial SSU rRNA". It matches the Rfam family "Bacterial small subunit ribosomal RNA", at positions 88 to 745 of the family's 1533-position model. Lineage: Bacteria; Bacillati; Bacillota; Bacilli; Caryophanales; Staphylococcaceae. The record is from RNAcentral.